Molecule: unclassified non-coding RNA, 968 nt
Filed under: Bombus terrestris (buff-tailed bumblebee)
Lineage: Eukaryota; Metazoa; Arthropoda; Insecta; Hymenoptera; Apidae
Description: misc RNA ENSBTSG00005028615.1
Source: RNAcentral
CCUGUUUCUAUUCGCAUACGAUACAGAUUAUCUUGUGAAAGUAAACGUUUCGCCCACGCGCACGAAAAUAUAUGGGCUACACGAAACAAUCAGUAUUCAUAUUUUUUUCAAACUAUGAAAAUACGAGCAUGUAGUACAUCUAUGCGAUUAAAAUUUUCAUUCGUUUCAUUUGUGCAAUAUAUAAGUUUAUUCAAGUUACUUACAGUCACACACGAAUCAAACGCUUCGAAUGCAGCGGUAGUUCACUUGUUUACUCAUUUAAACAUCCUGAAAUCUCCCGCGUUUCAUUUGGUAAUGUAAUAAAAAAUAGAAGAUAGGUAACACGCAUUUGUUCAUAAGCGAUAUCUGGCGGUGAUGUCCGGAGAUAGACGAACGCAAAUAGCGCAUGCGCAUAGGUCAUCGUAUAUCGUCCCGCCUGCGGACGAACCGAAAUAAAUCGAACGACGCCGAGGCGAUCAGCAGUACGGUGCUCGCUGGAUGCGACUGUUUCGCGUUAGUGAUGAUCAAAACGAGUUGUCGUCGUCGUUGUUUGUGGCAUUUCGCGAAGACGAAGAAGCCGUGAUCCGUGAUCAAAAGCUCGAGACGGAGAAGAGGCCGAGGACACACAUCGUCGCUCGUUGCCGCGGCCACGGAUGCAUAUGGAGAGUGACUCUCACGCGUCAGAAAUAAUACAGCAGGAAGUGUGUCCGGCGAUUGUGUCACACAGGCUGUUAAUUCCGCGCGCUGCCAUAAGCCUGAAAAGUGAAGUACAUAGUACCGUUAUCGCAAGGCCACGACGAAUCAUUGUUUCGAUUGAUUCAAGCUGAGAAAGAAAGAGAACGAGGAGGACGGAAAGAAAGAGAAAGAGAGGGAACGUAGGCGAAGAAAAGGACGUGACGAAGAAGGAUUGAAGAAGGAAAAAAGAGGAAGGAGAGGAGGAUACGGGUUAAAGCCGCAGAAAGCGUCUGGCUCUCUAAUCCAAAUAAGAG